UACAGAGGUCUCAAGCGUUGUUCGGAUUCAUUGGGCGUAAAGGGUGCGUAGGUGGCGCCGUAAGUCAGGUGUGAAAUUUCGGAGCUUAACUCCGAAAUUGCAUUCGAUACUGCCGUGCUUGAGGACUGGAGAGGAGACUGGAAUUCAUGGUGUAGCAGUGAAAUGCGUAGAGAUCAUGAGGAAGACCAGUGGCGAAGGCGGGUCUCUGGACAGUUCCUGACGCUGAGGAGCGAAAGUGUGGGGAGCGAACAGG
RNAcentral lists this ribosomal RNA (253 nucleotides) under uncultured bacterium. RNAcentral's name for it is "partial 16S ribosomal RNA". It matches the Rfam family "Bacterial small subunit ribosomal RNA", at positions 524 to 776 of the family's 1533-position model. The record is from RNAcentral.